CUGCUCCUUCAACAACAUCAAAUGCUGCUCCAUCAUCAUCUUCAACCACUGAAGAUAAUACAACCACAGCUGUGAGCCCCACAACCACUCAGAUAUCAUCAGAAACUACAACAACAGCAAAAGCUGCUCCAACAACACAAUUGUCAAAAACAAAUGAAACUUUAACAACCAAAAGAGUGAACCCCACAACCAUGCCUGUGUUCCCAGCACCUACAACUGCACCUCCAGCAACAGAAAAUGCUACUCCAGGAACAACAGCACAGUCUUCAACAAAUGAAGUUUCUACAACCACAACUGUGAAUUCGACAACCAUGCCUGUAUUUCCAGAACCCCCAACAAAUGCUGCAUUACCAACAAUAGCAGUAACUUCAACAACUGACGCUUCUACAAUAACAGCUGUGAACCCCACAUCAAUGCCUUUCUCCUCAGGAAAUACAAGUGCACCUCUAACAACAACAAGUUCUGCUCCAACACCAACUUCAAUCACUAAAGGUUAUACAACCACAGCUGUAACACCCACAACCUUGAGUGUUUUCUCAGGACCUACAAUUGCACCUCCAGCAACAGAAAAUGCUGUUCGUACCACAACACUUCCUUCAAUAUCUUCAUCUUCUUCACUGUUAUCACCAAGCACAACAUCAAUAUCUCCAACCACAAUACCACUUUUCACAACAACCAGAACUGCUGCAGCAACAACAUUUGUCACACCCACAACCAUGCCAAUGUUCUCAGAAUUUACGAAAUCAUUUUUAACAACCACAUCUUUGCUAAAUGCAGCUACAAAUGCAGUGACUCCAACUCGACUUUCAGAAACACAAAACCCAGCUCCAACUGCAUUUGUAUCUCAAAGCACAAAAACUGUGUCUUUAGCAACCACUGAAACGACUGCACCAACAAUUAUAAUUGUAACUCAAGAAACCACUAUGCCAUUGUCAAUGUCAGCAGCUGGUGCUCCCCCAACUACAAGUGUGAGUCCACUCUCUAUGUCUGGAGCUACCACAAGUAUGCCUAUAACCUCAGCUGCUACAAUUGCAUCAACUCAAACAACAG
Molecule: long non-coding RNA, 1050 nt
Filed under: Sinocyclocheilus anshuiensis
Lineage: Eukaryota; Metazoa; Chordata; Actinopteri; Cypriniformes; Cyprinidae
Description: lncRNA (ENSSANG00000026121.1)
Source: RNAcentral